GGGCCAAUCGUAUAGUGGCUUAUUAUGCUGUCUUAGGGCUUUACCUCCAUUCAGGUGGAUGCACUAAGUUGACAGAGGUCCCCGGUUCGAUUCCGGGUUGGCCCC
Non-coding RNA from Melanopsichium pennsylvanicum, 105 nucleotides. The record is from the annotation of a GenBank genome assembly. Lineage: Eukaryota; Fungi; Basidiomycota; Ustilaginomycetes; Ustilaginales.